This 262-nucleotide ribosomal RNA is filed under the name uncultured bacterium. RNAcentral's name for it is "partial 16S ribosomal RNA". It matches the Rfam family "Bacterial small subunit ribosomal RNA", at positions 793 to 1055 of the family's 1533-position model. The record is from RNAcentral.
GUCCACGCCCUAAACGAUGGCAACUGGGUGUUGGGGAGCGAUUCCUCAGUACCGUAGCUAACGCGUGAAGUUGCCCGCCUGGGGAGUACGGCCGCAAGGUUAAAACUCAAAGGAAUUGACGGGACCCGCACAAGCGGUGGAUGAUGUGGAUUAAUUCGAUGCAACGCGAACAACCUUACCUACCCUUGACAUGUCUGGAACCCUGCUGAGAGGUGGGGGUGCCCGAAAGGGAAUCGGAACACAGGUGCUGCAUGGCUGUCGU